UAGAGUUGUAAAACUCCCAAACCCAGUGCGAAUCUUACCAGUUGUUUCGUUGCUUCGGCAGGCGGUCCCAGGGCGGGGCCUUUGCCUUUUUCAGGCGCCUGCCGGAGGACCACACACUCUGUUUUUUUGUUAUUCUGAAUACCUAAAGUCUCUACAACGGGACUAAAUAAGUCA
RNAcentral lists this unclassified non-coding RNA (174 nucleotides) under uncultured Sordariales. RNAcentral describes it as "sequence contains ITS1". The record is from RNAcentral. Lineage: Eukaryota; Fungi; Ascomycota; Sordariomycetes; Sordariales.